Molecule: ribosomal RNA, 492 nt
Filed under: uncultured bacterium
Lineage: Bacteria
Description: partial 16S ribosomal RNA
Rfam family: Bacterial small subunit ribosomal RNA
Source: RNAcentral
AUUGAACGCUGGCGGUAGGCCUAACACAUGCAAGUCGAACGGCAGCACAGUAAGAGCUCGCUCUUACGGGUGGCGAGUGGCGGACGGUUGAGGAAUACAUCGGAAUCUACUUUUUCGUGGGGGAUAACGUAGGGAAACUUACGGUAAUACCGCAUACGACCUACGGGUGAAAGCAUCGGAUCUUCGGACCUUGCGCGAUUGAAUGAGCCGAUGUCGGAUUAGCUAGUUGGCGGGGCAAAGGCCCACCAAGGCGACGCUCCGUAGCUGGUCUGAGAGGAUGAACAGCCACACUGGAACUGAGAAACGGUCCAGACUCCUACGGGAAGCAGCAGUGGGGAAUAUUGGACAAUGGGCGCAAGCCUGAUCCAGCCAUACCGCGUGGGUGAAGAAGGCCUUCGGGUUGUAAAGCCCUUUUGGUGGGAAAGAAAAGCAGCAGGUUAAUACCCCGCUGUUCUGACGGUACCCAAAGAAUAAGCACCGGCUAACUUCGUG